Molecule: ribosomal RNA, 368 nt
Filed under: uncultured bacterium
Lineage: Bacteria
Description: partial 16S ribosomal RNA
Rfam family: Bacterial small subunit ribosomal RNA
Source: RNAcentral
CCUACGGGAGGCAGCAGUGGGGAAUAUUGCGCAAUGGGCGAAAGCCUGACGCAGCGACGCCGCGUGAGGGAUGAAGGUCUUCGGAUCGUAAACCUCUGUCUGCAGGGAAGAACGGUCACUGUGCUAAUCAGCAGUGAAUUGACGGUACCUACAAAGGAAGCACCGGCUAACUCCGUGCCAGCAGCCGCGGUAAUACGGAGGGUGCGAGCGUUAAUCGGAGUUACUGGGCGUAAAGGGCUCGUAGGCGGUAUGUCAAGUCAAGGGUGAAAUCCCCGGGCUCAACGUGGGAACUGCCUUUGAAACUGGCAGACUGGAGUGUGUGUGAGGAUGGUGGAAUGCCAGGUGUAGGGGUGAAAUCCGUAGAGAUC